RNAcentral lists this ribosomal RNA (496 nucleotides) under uncultured bacterium. Its description in RNAcentral is "partial 16S ribosomal RNA". It matches the Rfam family "Bacterial small subunit ribosomal RNA", at positions 28 to 506 of the family's 1533-position model. The record is from RNAcentral.
GAUGAACGCUGGCGGCGUGCCUAAUACAUGCAAGUCGAGCGAACAGACGAGGAGCUUGCUCCUCUGUCGUUAGCGGCGGACGGGUGAGUAACACGUGGAUAACCUACCUAUAAGACUGGGAUAACUUCGGGAAACCGGAGCUAAUACCGGAUAAUAUAUUGAACCGCAUGGUUCAAUAGUGAAAGACGGUUUUGCUGUCACUUAUAGAUGGAUCCGCGCCGCAUUAGCUAGUUGGUAAGGUAACGGCUUACCAAGGCAACGAUGCGUAGCCGACCUGAGAGGGUGAUCGGCCACACUGGAACUGAGACACGGUCCAGACUCCUACGGGAGGCAGCAGUAGGGAAUCUUCCGCAAUGGGCGAAAGCCUGACGGAGCAACGCCGCGUGAGUGAUGAAGGUCUUCGGAUCGUAAAACUCUGUUAUUAGGGAAGAACAAAUGUGUAAGUAACUAUGCACGUCUUGACGGUACCUAAUCAGAAAGCCACGGCUAACUACGU